GGGGUAGUAAGUCAGUGGUGAAAGCCUGCGGCUUAACCGUAGAAUUGCCAUUGAUACUGCUAUUCUUGAGUGCAGUUGAGGUAGNCGGAAUGUGUAAUGUAGCGGUGAAAUGCUUAGAUAUUACACAGAACACCGAUUGCGUAGGCAGCUUACUAAACUGUAACUGACGCUGAGGCACGAAAGCGUGGGGAGCGAACAGGAUUAGAUACCCUGGUAGUCCACGCUGUAAACUAUGAUCACUCGCUGUUGGCGAUACAUUGUCAGCGGCUGAGCGAAAGCAUUAAGUGAUCCACCUGGGGAGUACGGCCGCAAGGUUGAAACUCAAAGGAAUUGACGGGGGCCCGCACAAGCGGUGGAACAUGUGGUUUAAUUCGAUGAUACGCGAGGAACCUUACCUGGGCUUAAAUGCAGAACGACGUACCGGGAAACUGGUACUCCCUUCGGGGCGGACUGCAAGGUGCUGCAUGGUUGUCGUCAGCUCGUGCCGUGAGGUGUCGGGUUAAGUCCCAUAACGAGCGCAACCCUCAUUGUUAGUUGCCAGCGAGUAAUGUCGGGGACUCUAACGAAACUGCUGGUGUAAACCGUGAGGAAGGUGGGGAUGACGUCAAAUCAGCACGGCCCUUAUGUCCAGGGCUACACACGUGUUACAAUGGCCAGUACAAAGGGCAGCUACCACGCGAGUGGAUGCUAAUCUCUAAAGCUGGUCUCAGUUCGGAUUGAAGUCUGCAACUCGACUUCAUGAAGCUGGAAUCGCUAGUAAUCGCGCAUCAGCCAUGGCGCGGUGAUACGUUCCCGGGCAUUGUACACACCGCCCGUCAAGCCAUGGAAGCUUGGGGUACCUGAAGUCCGUAACCGAAGGAUCGGCCUAGGGUAACAAGUGACUGGG
RNAcentral lists this ribosomal RNA (886 nucleotides) under uncultured organism. Its description in RNAcentral is "bacterial SSU rRNA". It matches the Rfam family "Bacterial small subunit ribosomal RNA", at positions 577 to 1479 of the family's 1533-position model. The record is from RNAcentral.